AUCCCUUGACAUCCUGCGAACUUUCUAGAGAUAGAUUGGUGCCUUCGGGAACGCAGUGACAGGUGCUGCAUGGCUGUCGUCAGCUCGUGUCGUGAGAUGUUGGGUUAAGUCCCGCAACGAGCGCAACCCUUAUCAUUAGUUGCUAACAUUUAGUUGAGAACUCUAAUGAGACUGCCGGUGAUAAACCGGAGGAAGGCGGGGACGACGUCAAGUCAUCAUGGCCCUUAUGGGAUGGGCUACACACGUGCUACAAUGGGGGGUACAAAGAGAAGCCAACUGGCGACAGUGCUCGAAUCUCAUAAAACCUCUCGUAGACCGGAUCGGAGUCUGCCUCUCGACUCCGUGAAGUCGGAAUCGAUAGUAAUCGUGAAUCAGAAUGUCACGGUGAAUACGUUCCCGGGCCU
RNAcentral lists this ribosomal RNA (404 nucleotides) under uncultured bacterium. Its description in RNAcentral is "bacterial SSU rRNA". It matches the Rfam family "Bacterial small subunit ribosomal RNA", at positions 976 to 1381 of the family's 1533-position model. The record is from RNAcentral.